GUGCUUGCUUCAGCAGCACAUAUAUGAAAAUUAGAACAAUACAGAGAAAAUUAACAUGGUCCCUGAGCAAGGAUGACAGGUAAAUUCGUGAAGCAUUCCAUAUUUAA
Molecule: small nuclear RNA, 107 nt
Filed under: Ursus thibetanus thibetanus
Lineage: Eukaryota; Metazoa; Chordata; Mammalia; Carnivora; Ursidae
Source: RNAcentral